Molecule: ribosomal RNA, 406 nt
Filed under: uncultured bacterium
Lineage: Bacteria
Description: partial 16S ribosomal RNA
Rfam family: Bacterial small subunit ribosomal RNA
Source: RNAcentral
AUUGAACGCUGGCGGCAGGCCUAACACAUGCAAGUCGAACGAGUGGCGGACGGGUGAGUAAUGUCUGGGAAACUGCCUGUUGGAGGGGGAUAACUACUGGAAACGGUAGCUAAUACCGCAUACCAUCGGAUGUGCCCAGAUGGGAUUAGCUAGUAGGUGGGGUAAAGGCUCACCUAGGCGACGAUCCCUAGCUGGUCUGAGAGGAUGACCAGCCACACUGGAACUAGGCCACGGUCCAGACUCCUACGGGAGGCAGCAGUGGGGAAUAUAGCACAAUGGCGGCAGUCCUGAUGCGGCAAUGCCGCGUGUAUGAAGAAGGCCUUCGGGUUGUAAGGUACUUUCAGCGGGGAGGCGUUACCCGCAGAAGAAGCACCGGCUAACUCCGUGCCAGCAGCCGCGGUAAUUC